UACGUAGGGGGCAAGCGUUGUCCGGAAUCAUUGGGCGUAAAGCGCGUGUAGGCGGCCCGGUAAGUCCGCUGUGAAAGUCGGGGGCUCAACCCUCGAAUGCCGAGUGGAUACUGGUCGGGCUAGAGGUGCGGGAGAGGCGAGGUAGGUAAUUCCGUGGUGUAGCGGUGAAAUGCGCAGAUAUCAGGAGGAACACCAAUUGCGAAGGCAGCUCGCUGGAACGUAACUGACGCUGAGACGCGAAAGCGUGGGGAGCAAACAGG
Molecule: ribosomal RNA, 260 nt
Filed under: uncultured bacterium
Lineage: Bacteria
Description: partial 16S ribosomal RNA
Rfam family: Bacterial small subunit ribosomal RNA
Source: RNAcentral